AGACCGAUAGCGAACAAGUAGAGUGAUCGAAAGAUGAAAAGCACUUUGGAAAGAGAGUCAAACAGCACGUGAAAUUGUUGAAAGGGAAGCGCUUGCAGCCAGACUUGCUUACAGUUGCUCAUCCGGGUUUCUACCCGGUGCACUCUUCUGUAGGCAGGCCAGCAUCAGUUUGGGCGGUAGGAUAAAGGUCUCUGUCACGUACCUCCUUUCGGGGAGGCCUUAUAGGGGAGACGACAUACUACCAGCCUGGACUGAGGUCCGCGCAUCUGCUAGGAUGCUGGCGUAAUGGCUGUAAGCGGCCCGUCUUGAAACACGGACCAAG
This 322-nucleotide ribosomal RNA is filed under the name Alternaria sp. SW088. RNAcentral describes it as "LSU rRNA". It matches the Rfam family "Eukaryotic large subunit ribosomal RNA", at positions 331 to 670 of the family's 3401-position model. The record is from RNAcentral. Lineage: Eukaryota; Fungi; Ascomycota; Dothideomycetes; Pleosporales; Pleosporaceae.